AUUCCAGCUCCAAUAGCGUAUAUUAAAGUUGUUGCAGUUAAAACGCUCGUAGUCGGAUUUCGGGGCGGGCCGACCGGUCUGCCGAUGGGUAUGCACUGGCCGGCGCGUCCUUCCACCCGGAGACCGCGCCUACUCUUAACUGAGCGGGCGCGGGAGACGGGUCUUUUACUUUGAAAAAAUCAGAGUGUUUCAAGCAGGCAGUCGCUCUUGCAUGGAUUAGCAUGGGAUAAUGAAAUAGGACUCUGGUGCUAUUUUGUUGGUUUCGAACACCGGAGUAAUGAUUAAUAGGGACAGUUGGGGGCAUUCAUAUUCCAUUGUCAGAGGCGAAAUUCUUGGAUUAACGGAAGAUGAACUUCUGCGAAGGCAUCUGCCAAGGAUGUUUUCAUCA
RNAcentral lists this ribosomal RNA (388 nucleotides) under Gephyrocapsa sp. Its description in RNAcentral is "partial small subunit ribosomal RNA". It matches the Rfam family "Eukaryotic small subunit ribosomal RNA", at positions 582 to 975 of the family's 1831-position model. Lineage: Eukaryota; Haptophyta; Isochrysidales; Noelaerhabdaceae. The record is from RNAcentral.